Molecule: ribosomal RNA, 434 nt
Filed under: uncultured bacterium
Lineage: Bacteria
Description: partial 16S ribosomal RNA
Rfam family: Bacterial small subunit ribosomal RNA
Source: RNAcentral
AACGAACGCUGGCGGCAUGCCUAACACAUGCAAGUCGAACGAUUGCCUUCGGGUGUUAGUGGCGCACGGGUGCGUAACGCGUGGGAAUCUGCCCUUAGGUUCGGAAUAACAGCUGGAAACGGCUGCUAAUACCGGAUGAUAUCGCGAGAUCAAAGAUUUAUCGCCUGAUGAUGAGCCCGCGUUGGAUUAGGGAGUUGGUGGGGUAAAGGCCUACCAAGCCGACGAGCCAUAGCUGUUCUGAGAAGAUGAUCAGCCACACUGGGACAGGGACAAGGCCCAGACUCCUAGGGGAGGCAGCAGGGGGGAAGAUUGGACGAUGGGCGAAAGACUGAUGCAGCAAUGUCGCGGGAGUGAUGAAGGCGCGAGGGUGGUAAAGCUAUUUUACCAGGGAAGAUAAGAACGGAACCGGGAGAAUAAGCCCGGGCAAACUCCGG